UUUCCGUAGGUGAACCUGCGGAAGGAUCAUUAUCGAAUGAACAUGGAGUUGGUUGUUGCUGGCCUCUUUACUGGGGCAUGUGCACACCUUCUCUAUUCAUCCACACACACCUGUGAACUUGUGAGACGGAUAGUAGUCCUCUAGCGGACGAGGUCCGUCUGCUAAUACAUAAACUCUAUAAUAAUAAAAUUGAAUGUCAUUUGAUGUAACGCAUCUGUAAACUAAGUUUCAACAACGGAUCUCUUGGCUCUCGCAUCGAUGAAGAACGCAGC
RNAcentral lists this unclassified non-coding RNA (272 nucleotides) under uncultured fungus. RNAcentral describes it as "sequence contains ITS1, 5.8S rRNA gene". The stretch from base 224 to 272 matches the Rfam family "5.8S ribosomal RNA", at positions 1 to 49 of the family's 154-position model. The record is from RNAcentral. Lineage: Eukaryota; Fungi.